This 854-nucleotide ribosomal RNA is filed under the name Phragmocamarosporium rosae. Its description in RNAcentral is "eukaryotic LSU rRNA". It matches the Rfam family "Eukaryotic large subunit ribosomal RNA", at positions 75 to 944 of the family's 3401-position model. The record is from RNAcentral. Lineage: Eukaryota; Fungi; Ascomycota; Dothideomycetes; Pleosporales; Lentitheciaceae.
UUGCCCUAGUAACGGCGAGUGAAGCGGCAACAGCUCAAAUUUGAAAUAUGGCUUCCUUUGGGGGUCCGAGUUGUAAUUUGCAGAGGGUGCUUUGGCGUCGGCAGCGGUCUAAGUUCCUUGGAACAGGACAUCACAGAGGGUGAGAAUCCCGUACGUGGUCGCCUGCCUUCGCCGUGUAAAGCCCCUUCGACGAGUCGAGUUGUUUGGGAAUGCAGCUCUAAAUGGGAGGUAAAUUUCUUCUAAAGCUAAAUACCGGCCAGAGACCGAUAGCGCACAAGUAGAGUGAUCGAAAGAUGAAAAGCACUUUGGAAAGAGAGUCAAACAGCACGUGAAAUUGUUGAAAGGGAAGCGCUUGCAGCCAGACUUGCUCGCAGUUGCUCAUCCGGGUCCGCCCGGAGCACUCUUCUGCGAGCAGGCCAGCAUCAGUUUGGGCGACCGGAUAAAGGCCUCUGUCAUGUAUCUUCCUUCGGGAUGACCUUAUAGGGGAGGCGUAAUGCGGCCAGCCCGGACUGAGGUCCGCGCAUCUGCUAGGAUGCUGGCGUAAUGGCUGUAAGCGGCCCGUCUUGAAACACGGAUCAAGGAGUCUAACAUCUAUGCGAGUGUUUGGGUGUCAAGCCCGGGCGCCAAUGAAAGUGAACGGAGGUGGGAACCCUAUUCGGGGGGUGCACCAUCGACCGAUCCUGAUGUCUUCGGAUGGAUUUGAGUAAGAGCAUAGCUGUUGGGACCCGAAAGAUGGUGAACUAUGCUUGAAUAGGGUGAAGCCAGAGGAAACUCUGGUGGAGGCUCGCAGCGGUUCUGACGUGCAAAUCGAUCGUCAAAUUUGGGCAUAGGGGCGAAAGACUAAUCGAACUAUC